This 496-nucleotide ribosomal RNA is filed under the name uncultured bacterium. Its description in RNAcentral is "bacterial SSU rRNA". It matches the Rfam family "Bacterial small subunit ribosomal RNA", at positions 94 to 656 of the family's 1533-position model. The record is from RNAcentral.
ACCGGCGCACGGGUGAGUAACGCGUAUCCAACCUGCCCAUGUCUGGGGAAUAACCCGUCGAAAGGCGGACUAACUCCCCACGGACAUGGAUGGGGAUGCGUCUGAUUAGGUAGUAGGCGGGGUAACGGCCCACCUAGCCUACGAUCAGUAGGGGUUCUGAGAGGAAGGUCCCCCACAUUGGAACUGAGACACGGUCCAAACUCCUACGGGAGGCAGCAGUGAGGAAUAUUGGUCAAUGGACGAGAGUCUGAACCAGCCAAGUAGCGUGCAGGAUGACGGCCUAUGGGUUGUGAACUGCUUUUGCGCGGGGAUAGGUACCGCGCGAAUAAGGACCGGCUAAUUCCGUGCCAGCAGCCGCGGUAAUACGGAAGGUCCGGGCGUUAUCCGGAUUUAUUGGGUUUAAAGGGAGCGUAGGCCGUGAGGUAAGCGUGUUGUGAAAUGUAGGCGCCCAACGUCUGCACUGCAGCGCGAACUGCCCCACUUGAGUGCGCGCAAC